UUUCCGUAGGUGAACCUGCGGAAGGAUCAUUACCGAGUGAGGGUCUCUCAGUCCCGACCUCUCACCCUGGGUUUUUGUGACAUUGUUGCUUUGGCCGUCCCGCCUCGAUGAGAGGCCGCCGGAAGCUUACCGCUUUGGGCCCGUGCCCGUCUUUAGCCACCUUUAAUUCUUAAUAAACCUGUCUUCUGAGUUCAUAGAAAUAAUUUAAAAAAACUUUCAACAACCGAUCUCUUGGUUCUAGCAUCCAUGAAGAACGCAGCACAUCGGAAGGACACACAU
RNAcentral lists this unclassified non-coding RNA (279 nucleotides) under plant metagenome. RNAcentral's name for it is "partial contains small subunit ribosomal RNA, internal transcribed spacer 1, and 5.8S ribosomal RNA". The record is from RNAcentral.